This 440-nucleotide ribosomal RNA is filed under the name uncultured bacterium. RNAcentral's name for it is "partial 16S ribosomal RNA". It matches the Rfam family "Bacterial small subunit ribosomal RNA", at positions 338 to 795 of the family's 1533-position model. The record is from RNAcentral.
CCUACGGGAGGCAGCAGUGGGGGAUAUUGCACAAUGGGGGGAACCCUGAUGCAGCGACGCCGCGUGGGGGAAGAAGCGCCUCCGCGUGUAAAGCCCUGUUAGCAGGGAAGAAAAUGACGGUACCUGAAGAAGAAGCCCCGGCUAACUACGUGCCAGCAGCCGCGGUAAUACGUAGGGGGCAAGCGUUAACCGGAUUUACUGGGGGUAAAGGGGGCGCAGACGGCGAUGCAAGCCAGGGGUGAAAGCCCGGGGCCCAACCCCGGGACUGCUCUUGGAACUGCGUGGCUGGAGUGCAGGAGGGGCAGGCGGAAUUCCUGGUGUAGCGGUGAAAUGCGUAGAUAUCAGGAGGAACACCGGUGGCGAAGGCGGCCUGCUGGACUGCAACUGACGUUGAGGCCCGAAAGCGUGGGGAGCGAACAGGAUUAGAUACCCUGGUAGUC